This 253-nucleotide ribosomal RNA is filed under the name uncultured bacterium. RNAcentral's name for it is "partial 16S ribosomal RNA". It matches the Rfam family "Bacterial small subunit ribosomal RNA", at positions 524 to 776 of the family's 1533-position model. The record is from RNAcentral.
AACGUAGGUGGCGAGCGUUAUCCGGAAUUACUGGGCGUAAAGCGUGCGCAGGCGGUCUGCUAAGACAGGUGUGAAAUCCCCGGGCUUAACCUGGGAACUGCGCUUGUUACUGGCAGGCUGGAGUGUGGCAGAGGGGGGUGGAAUUCCACGUGUAGCAGUGAAAUGCGUAGAGAUGUGGAGGAACACCGAUGGCGAAGGCAGCCCCCUGGGCUAACACUGACGCUCAUGCACGAAAGCGUGGGGAGCAAACAGG